Molecule: long non-coding RNA, 1902 nt
Organism: Macrobrachium nipponense
Lineage: Eukaryota; Metazoa; Arthropoda; Malacostraca; Decapoda; Palaemonidae
Exons: 3
Source: RefSeq, a predicted model, not a curated record
CCACUCCAGUGAAGAAGCUCUAUUAGAGCUGGUCUUUUGUCUUACAAUAGUCCCGAAACAUUCUGUGAUUUAUGUGGUGUACUCCAUAUUGAUAGUCAGAUCCAUGGCAUCUGACAUGCUGAGAUGGUGGAAGUGCCUCUACAGCACACAAAACUUGCAUGUCCUUAAAAACUGGUGGAGCAAAGUUUGAUUAACUGCUGGAGAGAAAGAGCCUCUGCCAGCACAAGUUUGGCUUAAUCCAAAUAGAUCAAGACAAGCAUGAAGAUUGCUUCAACAGGGAGCCUCCAAGUUAUUAUGAACCUAUUUAUUUUGUUAUAUGAAGAGAUAUACAGUACGGGACUGUUCAUCCUCACCAUCAGCAAUCUUGAAGCUACAGUAGAAGAGUUUUCACCCUGUAUUUGUUCAACUUUGACUCACAGUGCACAGAAUAAAAUUUUAUAUUGAAAUCUUACAUGUUAUAGGUUCUUGGUUGCUUUGUCUUUUAGUGCAGAUAGCAAUGUUGUAUUAACUAAAAGGGCUAUUCAGUUUGGAGAGGUAUAGUUAAUCCACGCACUCAAACUUUUUCCCAAAGAAACUCAAGUCAAAGCUUUCCAUGAAAUCAGAAACUCAUUAUUGUAAUAAAGGUACUUGAACAAGACCACCGAGUCACACUACUAGAUACAUUGGACUUGCCACAGGGAUUUGUUCCUGAAUAAGAUUGUACAUGGAACAAGGUGUAGAAGUUAGAUGACUAAUGGGGAUAAUAUGUAAAGGGAACUAGCAUAGACUACAAGAGGGAGAGCAAUGCACCUGAAGCUGAUUAUGAUAGGCAGUGAUGAGCUUAGUGGUGUUCCAUGACGGACACCAGUGUUUACUUCAUAUAUUCCAAACCUUUCUGCUAUAGUAUUCAGUCAAGUUCUCAUAUCAUGAAGUACUGACAUUUGCUCAGUGAGUUUCUUGUCCCCAUUACCUUUGUAAUACAGUACUUUAAUCCCUUGUCUGGGUACUCCAUUCAGGGUUAUCUAAUAUAUAGUAACAUGUUACUUCCUAUUCUUGCAUAGCUCUGCUCAUGUGGCUGUUUGAUACUUCUCACAUAGUUGUGACAGAUUUUUUUUCUUAACCAUCCUUCCACUGCACCUACCUUACUUUUUGUAUAUCACAUUUCAUCAGUCUUUUUAUUCUCUGUUUUACACUUUGUAAUGAGUUGCCUAAACUUUUACUUAUAGCUGGUGUGAUUUCUCUUCGCUCUCAUUCUUCUGGUUCUUUCAAUCUUUACUGUUUUAAAGUGCCUUGCACUAUUUCGUUCUUUAGUCUUGUGUCUUAUUUGUUUACAGUACACUUACAUGCAGUAUAUGCAUUUGUUGAAUCACAUAUGUUGGUAUUCAUCUGUUGUUUCCAUUUCCUGUAAUCCACAUAGGGUAUACUAUCUUAUGGAUUUUAAUUGUGUUCCAAAGGAAUAUAGUGUUUGUACAUCUUGAAUUGUCAUUUAUUUCUAUAGGUUUUGGUCAAUUCCUUGACGACUAAUUCUCCUCCCGCAUUGUUGACACUUUAAGGCUUCUCCUAACAUCUUCAGAUGUUGUAUUCUGUACUGAGCUUUGUGUCUUAGCAACACCCUUUAAUUCUCUUCAUUCCAGAGAAUGUGCAAGUACUGCCUUCACUUUGCUGUUUGCAAGGGCCAGGGUGCUUUUUGUGCUCCUCUUCUAAUUUCCAGAAAUUCUCAUUGUCCAUGAAGUUUGUAUGGGAGACUUUGAGUUAACAUGUUGAUCAUGACUCCCUUAUUUUCACAAUUAGAAAUGUGGAAGUUGAUGGACCAUUUCAUCAUAGUAGUCUUUUGUAAUGUUCAACUUAUAAAUUUCAUAGAUUUGUUGUUGGCCAUUAUGGUGACUACAGGAAUUUAACUCUGAUGUUCCUUUGGGCAGUGUU